This 205-nucleotide ribosomal RNA is filed under the name uncultured bacterium. Its description in RNAcentral is "partial 16S ribosomal RNA". It matches the Rfam family "Bacterial small subunit ribosomal RNA", at positions 524 to 725 of the family's 1533-position model. The record is from RNAcentral.
UACGUAGGGGGGCAAGCGUUGUCCGGAAUUAUUGGGCGUAAAGAGCGCGUAGGCGGUCCGGUAAGUCGGUUGUGAAAGUCGGGGGGCUCAACCCUCGGAUGCCGAUCGAUACUGUCGGGCUAGAGUCCGGAAGAGGCGAGUGGAAUUCCCUGGUGUAGCGGUGAAAUGCGCAGAUAUCAGGAAGAACACCCAUGGCGAAGGCGGC